Molecule: ribosomal RNA, 130 nt
Filed under: Brenneria alni
Lineage: Bacteria; Pseudomonadati; Pseudomonadota; Gammaproteobacteria; Enterobacterales; Pectobacteriaceae
Description: partial 16S ribosomal RNA
Rfam family: Bacterial small subunit ribosomal RNA
Source: RNAcentral
CUUAAAUUGAAGAGUUUGAUCAUGGCUCAGAUUGAACGCUGGCGGCAGGCCUAACACAUGCAAGUCGGGCGGUAGCACAGGGGAGCUUGCUUCCUGGGUGACGAGCGGCGGACGGGUGAGUAAAGUCUGG